Molecule: non-coding RNA, 2695 nt
Organism: Oryctolagus cuniculus (rabbit)
Lineage: Eukaryota; Metazoa; Chordata; Mammalia; Lagomorpha; Leporidae
Source: RefSeq, a predicted model, not a curated record
ACCAUAGCUCCGUGUGUGUGUGUGGUGAGAUCUCAACACUUGGUCAAGGCUGCAACACACCAUUACUCACCAGCGCUUAUUCUGUCCCACGGCACCUGCGUUCCUCGGCCCACACCUCGCCACUUCCGCCCUCCGUUACCUGGCAACCACCGUCUACUCUGUGCUUCUGUGUUUUGACCUUUUUAGAUUCCACAUGUAAACGACACAGGACCUGAUCUCAGGCACCCGAGGUGGCAUGCAGGGAUCUCAAGUGGUGACCUGAUCCGCUCUACCAGGACGCCUGCUUCCAUCCAUACCGUUUUCCAUGGCGACCGCGUCAGCAUUGCUACCAACAGGGUUACAGGUUCUCCUUCCACACGCCAGCCGGCACUCGGUGUCCUUUGUCUUUCUGAUCGUGGUGAUGUGAUGUCUCACCGUGGCUUUUGCUCGCAUUUCUCUGCCCGAUGGGCAUCCCCCACCCAACAGUAAACCUUUUUUUUGGCGACCUUACAUUGGUGCCGUGACUCGGAUCCAGGCUCCCCCAAUGACUUGCUCUCCCUUCGGGGAUCUCUGAGCUACCUUGGCGUCCUGGAUUUCUGCCAGUCACAAAACGCACCCCCAGAACUCCUUCCACGCCAUGGGAUGCUCCGUGAUCUCCAUCCACGCACCAGCCCUUCAAAUUCUGAGGUUUCUGAUGAUAUGAGAAUGGGUAAUCAGUACUCAAUGAAACAGCAAUGGGCAAUCAGUACUUGUUAUAGCCCCUAAGAUUGGAAACUGACUAUACUGAAGGAGUCUCCAGGAUGUACAGUUUGAUUUUUGGAUUUUAUAAAAGGGAUGGCUAACAUUUUCUGUAAUAAUAGCAUAGCCAAAAUGAGAGUUUAAGUUACCAUUUCACAGCUAGGUUUACUUCACCUCGGGCACAGUAAACAGGCAAAAACCUCCCUUUCAGACCAAGCAAAGGGAGAGAAAGUUUUAAGGUGAGGACAUAGCUUUCCUCAUGGGCAUUGUCUACCCACAAAACCACUACCAGAACAUGCCCGUGACUAGACUUCUAGUUUAGGCCAUCGAAGUUUAGAGCUGGGACCUGAGCACCCCCUGGGCUGGCAUCCUUUGGUCUGCUUUAACAAAAACCAAGAGGGAAAGAAAGCUGGGCAUCAAAAGCAAUGUAAAGAUAGAUGGCAGGCCAAUUCAGGCUGCUUUGUACAGUGAUCUGCCACCAAGGAGACCCAACAGGCCAGUCCACUGCAGUGGCUUUCAGUGUGGAAAGCCCUGACCAGCCAAGAGUUGGGUCACUGGAAAUGACACUGCCCCGGAGUCCGAGGACUGCAGGUCAGAGCCACAGACCUCACUGGCUCUAAACUGAGAAGCCCUUCACUCUGCCCAGCUUCCAAGUAACCACCGCUGCUGAGGGGACGGCCAGGUAACACUGUACACAGUAACUGUACAUUUCCUGUUGGAGAUGCCAGCUCUCCUCCCAGGCCAGCUAGGGAAUGGAAGUCAACAGGGUGCCUCCCUCAAGGAAGUUCACAUCUCCCGUAGGAUGUACCCCAUGUGAAGAGAUAGGUCUGGGCCUCCUAACUGGCAAGGCCUUAAAGCUCACCUGACAAUUAUCAGGCCCCUUUCCUCAGCUUCUAUUGGCCUCUCAAUUAGAAAACUUAGUCGUGCCACCUUAGGAUCAUGGGUUACUAUUCUCACCCUGUCUUUUAUACUACUCUAUCUGUUUAAGUGUUUACAGGAGGUGAUAAUGGAAUGAACAAAGCCCUCACCAACCAGGCGGUCAGUCAAUUGCUGCUACAGGGAUAUACUCGGCUCCCCACCCAGGAGACAGCGGCUCGAGACAUCGCCCCAUGCCGGCAGAGAGUACCUCGUCACCCCAUGUCAGCAGGAAGUAGCCCUAGAGACAGAUUAUCAUCCCUCUACCCCUCCUGGACUCUUGCUUUAUAUUAAAAAAAAAAAAAAAGAGGGGAAUGUUAGCAAAAUGGCGCAGUCUAUGUGGCGCCAUCUAUGCCUCGCUCGCCAUCUUAGGUGCUGGCCCGCAGGCUUCGGUCCUAAGCCCCAUGGUCUAACCACCACUGUCAGCUCCACCUCCACCCUCAUGGGAUUCACUGCUCCUACUUCCCUGCCUGCCCCCAGCAAAGGUUUAGCAGGACCUGUUCCUGAACACACUUCUCUGAUCUCUACCCGCUUGCCCUCUCCCCCAAGCCUGUCGGGCUUCCUCUCCUGCCCCCAACAAUAAACCUUUCCUCUAACUCUGGUGUUUGGUGUGUUUUGUGGAGGCCUUACAAAUUCUAUUCUGUAUCUAACCACGUAUUUCUUAUAUUUAUGUCAUUCAUUCAUUUAUUUAUUUAUUUCAGAGGCAGAGUUUGAGACAGAGGGAGAGACAGGAAGAUCUUCCAUCCACUGAUUCACACCCCAAAUGGCUGCAGCAGCCAUGCUGGGCCAAUCUGAAGCCAGGAGCCAGGAGAUUCUGCCGGGUCUCCCACGCAGGUGCAGGGGCCCAAGCACUCGGGCCAUCUUCUGCUUUCUCAGGCCAUAAGCAGGGAGUGGAAUCAGAAGUGGAGCAGCCAGGACAGGUUGAGGCUUAGGCCACUAUGCCACAAUCCCACCCCCUCCGCAUUCCUUCCUUUUUUUUUUAAGAUUUAUUUAUUUGAAAGGCAGAGUUACAGAGAGGCAGAGUUGAGAGAAAGAGGGCUUCCAUCUUGUUGUUCAGUCCCUU